UACGUAGGGGGCAAGCGUUGUCCGGAAUUAUUGGGCGUAAAGAGCGCGUAGGCGGUCCGGUAAGUCGGUUGUGAAAGUCGGGGGCUCAACCCUCGGAUGCCGAUCGAUACUGUCGGGCUAGAGUCCGGAAGAGGCGAGUGGAAUUCCUGGUGUAGCGGUGAAAUGCGCAGAUAUCAGGAGGAACACCGGUGGCGAAGGCGGGUCUCUGGGCCGACACUGACGCUGAGGAGCGAAAGCGUGGGGAGCGAACAGG
This 253-nucleotide ribosomal RNA is filed under the name uncultured bacterium. RNAcentral's name for it is "partial 16S ribosomal RNA". It matches the Rfam family "Bacterial small subunit ribosomal RNA", at positions 524 to 776 of the family's 1533-position model. The record is from RNAcentral.